RNAcentral lists this ribosomal RNA (420 nucleotides) under bacterium. RNAcentral's name for it is "partial 16S ribosomal RNA". It matches the Rfam family "Bacterial small subunit ribosomal RNA", at positions 355 to 776 of the family's 1533-position model. The record is from RNAcentral.
UGGGGGAUAUUGCACAAUGGGCGAAAGCCUGAUGCAGCGACGCCGCGUGGGGGAUGAAGGCUUUCGGGUUGUAAACCUCUUUCGCUAUCGAACAAGGCCCGCUUAGGGUGGGUUGAGGGUAGGUGGAGAAGAAGCGCCGGCUAACUACGUGCCAGCAGCCGCGGUAAUACGUAGGGCGCGAGCGUUGUCCGGAAUUAUUGGGCGGAAAGGGCUUGUAGGCGGCUUGUUGCGCCUGCUGUGAAAACGCGGGGCUUAACUUCGCGCGUGCAGUGGGUACGGGCAGGCUUGAGUGUGGUAGGGGUGACUGGAAUUCCAGGUGUAGCGGUGGAAUGCGCAGAUAUCUGGAGGAACACCGAUGGCGAAGGAAGGUCACUGGGCCAUUACUGACGCUGAGGAGCGAAAGCAUGGGUAGCGAACAGG